AGGAGGAAAAACUUCAGUGGUGGCAUCCAGCUCUGGAGCCCUGGAGUCAGCUCCCACAGUAACUACAGAGCUCUCCAUCUGCAGGGGCCUGGAUGCUCUGGGGGCGG
Molecule: microRNA precursor, 107 nt
Filed under: Canis lupus familiaris (dog)
Lineage: Eukaryota; Metazoa; Chordata; Mammalia; Carnivora; Canidae
Description: mir-8834 microRNA precursor family
Rfam family: mir-8834 microRNA precursor family
Source: Rfam by way of RNAcentral